AGACUGAGACCUUGAGGCCUUGGAAUGUUGGACUGGGGAUGAGGAAACCUCUGGCACGAGAGUCUGCUCUGCUCUAAGAGUGACUUCUGACUUGAGCCUGCAGUGUGCUUUGAGCGAUCCGCCACCAGAUCAUCUCAACUUUGCACGCUUGGGACCACCCAUUUGUGACAAUCAUAAAG
This is a long non-coding RNA of Hipposideros armiger (great roundleaf bat), 179 nucleotides long. RefSeq lists it as uncharacterized. The transcript has 3 exons. Lineage: Eukaryota; Metazoa; Chordata; Mammalia; Chiroptera; Hipposideridae. The record is from RefSeq and is a predicted model, not a curated record.